GCCAGGCAUGGUGGCGCAUACCUGUGGUCCCAGCUACUUGGGAGGCUGAGGCAGGAGGAUUGUUUGAGCCUGGGGGUUUGAGGCUGCAGUGAACUAUGAUUGCACCAUUGCACUCCAGCCUGGGUGACAGAACAAGAUCCUGUCUCAG
Non-coding RNA from Homo sapiens (human), 148 nucleotides. It matches the Rfam family "Metazoan signal recognition particle RNA". From Rfam's summary of the family: The signal recognition particle (SRP) is a universally conserved ribonucleoprotein. It is involved in the co-translational targeting of proteins to membranes. The record is from Rfam. Lineage: Eukaryota; Metazoa; Chordata; Mammalia; Primates; Hominidae.